UUAAAUUUGACCAUUGCGAAGCAGAGGGCCGAUAACAAAAUUAAAACCUGGAUUUGACCAUUGCCUUGUAGAGGGCCAAAAUCGCAGAAGAAAAACAUAAAUUUGACCAUUGCGAAGUAGAGGGCCGAUAACAAAAGGAAAAACUUGAGCUUAAGGUGCCAGGCGAACUGGGCUUUGGGUGCCAGACAAAACUGGGCUUUUGUGGGCCAGGUGAAAGCUUAUGGGCCAGGUGAAACUGGGCUUAGGGGCCAGUGUGAAAACUGAGCUUAUGGGCUAGGUGAAACUGGGCUUAGGGGCCAGGUGAAACUGGGCUUAUGGGCCAGAUGAAACUGGGCUUAGGGGCCAGGCGAGCUGGGCUUAUAUGCCAGGUGAAACCGGGCUUAGGGGCUAGUGUGAAAACUGGGCUUAUGGGCUAGGUGAAACUGGGCUUAGGGGCCAGUGUAGAAAUGGGGCUUUGGGGCCAGCGUGAAACUGGGCUUAAGGGCCAGGUGAAACUGGGCUUAUGGGCCAGGCGAAACUGGGCUUAGUGGGCC
This 533-nucleotide long non-coding RNA is filed under the name Vigna radiata. RNAcentral's name for it is "long non-coding RNA (VRAD_LNC002503)". The record is from RNAcentral. Lineage: Eukaryota; Viridiplantae; Streptophyta; Magnoliopsida; Fabales; Fabaceae.